RNAcentral lists this ribosomal RNA (265 nucleotides) under uncultured bacterium. Its description in RNAcentral is "partial 16S ribosomal RNA". It matches the Rfam family "Bacterial small subunit ribosomal RNA", at positions 89 to 354 of the family's 1533-position model. The record is from RNAcentral.
UACUUAGUGGCGGACGGGUGAGUAACGCGUGGGUAACCUGCCUUACACUGGGGGAUAACACUUAGAAAUAGGUGCUAAUACCGCAUAAGCGCACGAAGCCGCAUGGAUUUGUGUGAAAAACUCCGGUGGUGUAAGAUGGACCCGCGUCUGAUUAGCUUGUUGGCGGGGUAACGGCCCACCAAGGCGACGAUCAGUAGCCGGCCUGAGAGGGUGGACGGCCACAUUGGGACUGAGACACGGCCCAAACUCCUACGGGAGGCAGCAG